Molecule: ribosomal RNA, 250 nt
Filed under: uncultured bacterium
Lineage: Bacteria
Description: partial 16S ribosomal RNA
Rfam family: Bacterial small subunit ribosomal RNA
Source: RNAcentral
AGUAACACGUGGGUAACCUGCCCAUCAGAAGGGAUAACACUUGGAAACAGGUGCUAAUACCGUACAACAAUCGAAACCGCAUGGUUUCGGUUUGAAAGGCGCUUUUGCGUCACUGAUGGAUGGACCCGCGGUGCAUUAGCUAGUUGGUGAGGUAACGGCUCACCAAGGCAACGAUGCAUAGCCGACCUGAGAGGGUGAUCGGCCACAUUGGGACUGAGACACGGCCCAAACUCCUACGGGAGGCAGCAUG